Non-coding RNA from Paramormyrops kingsleyae, 1538 nucleotides. The record is from RefSeq and is a predicted model, not a curated record. NCBI's taxonomy places the organism in Eukaryota, Metazoa, Chordata, Actinopteri, Osteoglossiformes, Mormyridae.
GUCUGUUCAUUGUGAGGUAUUGUGAGGGCUCCUCUGUGCCGAGAGGUUCUGUUUGUGGUCAGCAUUGAUAUUUACCAUCUGUUCACUGACUUGCUGUCUGUUUCUCAGCUAUGCCAUUUGGAUUCUCAUUCCGGUAAAGCUGAGGCCUGCCUGUCACCACAGCAGACUGUCAUGCCAGUGCACACGUGGCCAAAAAGGACAGAGUGACAUCUGGAAUUGUCCCCUAACUGAAGACCUCACCUUGGCUGGAGGGAGAAGGACGCAUUCUUGAAGACGGGACCGCGGAACGGCGUUGCGCCCAAGGAAAAUGAGACGGGAAGGGGACCCCCACCCGCUCGCUGUCAUGGAGAAUUCCAGGGGGCUUAUAUGGACAGCAGGGCUUGCACUUACCACCAAAUAAGAAAAGACAAGCACUGUCUACAAAACAGCACCGGGAAAAGUUAGACGGCGUGCACUGACAGGACACUGAGAUGGAACUGAAUUGCAGGCUUUUUCUUCAGAUGUUCGCAUCUGAGGAGGGUCAGAAUGCUGAGCGGCACUGAUGGAAAUGAGCGACUGCAAAGUGGUCGCCGGAUAAAGGGACAUGAAGGCUAGCGUUCGCUAUGUUAGCAUGCACGCUAACAGAUCUGUGCUCCACUUCUUCCCGGCACCGGGAAACUCAAAAGGCGGCCAACUGUCUCCGGAGCCCCACGUGGGUGUCUGAAGAUGUUUAUCACAAAUGACCAUCUCACAAAAGACAUAAGGCAGGUAGUGUGAUUGUCCUUCAACUGUUGUCUUCAGGAACAAAACUGCAAUCCCUGCUCACUGGGACACUGGAGUGCAAGUCCAUUAAACUGUCAGUGGCCUGGGAGCCCCUUCCUCGUGCUGCGGGGACCGGGUCCUGCAAAUGAGCGCCGGGCUACAACAAAAGGGCCACAUCAGAGAGCAAAUCAGGUUUAGCCUCUGGCUCCCAGCCCUAUCUCUGAUGAUUGGUCUGCUCUGUUCUGGGACCGCAUCUGUGUCUGCCAUUUUCAGGGGCCCGGUCCCACGUAACCAAAGCGAAACAGGGACACUGGUAACGAGUUCUUGAGGACACAGGGAUUUCUGAUGCUAUAUAAAAAAAAAGCAACAGCUAAAAGCAAAGACAGCAACGACCUUUGGGAGCUCUGAAGUUUCUUUGUAGCCGACAGCCAAAUAGGAGGAACCAGACGCUGAUUACUAAGCUGUAAUAUUCUAGGUGUUUCCAGCAACCUGCUGUGCUUGUAUUCUUUGUGUAUUUAUCCACUGUACUAAUGUUUCUGGACUGUUAAUGAAUCACGAUAAUAAGAAAACAGUUCCGUUAAACAAAUAUUAAAUAUGUAGCAGGAAACGCGUAGAUAUGCCAAGUCUUCAUAAAAGAGUGCAGCACUGUGGAUUUACGAGCAGUUAAAUUGUAUUAUCAGAUCAAUUACAAGGUAUGAUUAAUUAUUCAUUACCAUUCACAUUAAUAUGAAAUAUGUUUAGAUGUGUUGUUUUGAGAUGAGUUUUAUACCAACUGUUGGCACUAAUAAGGAAUUAAA